This 497-nucleotide ribosomal RNA is filed under the name uncultured bacterium. Its description in RNAcentral is "partial 16S ribosomal RNA". It matches the Rfam family "Bacterial small subunit ribosomal RNA", at positions 28 to 507 of the family's 1533-position model. The record is from RNAcentral.
GAUGAACGCUGGCGGCGUGCCUAAUACAUGCAAGUCGAGCGAACGGACGAGACGCUUGCUUCUUUGAUGUUAGCGGCGGACGGGUGAGUAACACGUGGAUAACCUCCCUAUAAGACUGGGAUAACUUCGGGAAACCGGCGCUAAUCCCGUAUAAUAUUUUGAACCGCAUUGUUCAAAAGUGAAAUACGGUCUUGCUGUCACUUAUCGAUGGAUCCUGGCUGCAUUGGCUAGUUGGUAAGUUAACGGCUUACCAGGGCGACGAUGCAUAUCCGAACUGCGCGGGUGAUAGGCCACACUGGAGCGGAGACACGGACCAGAGGACUACGGGAGGCAGCAGAAGGGAAUCUGCCGCAAUGGGCGAAAGCCUGACGGAGCAACGGCGCGUGAGUGAUGAAGGUCUUGGGAGCGUAAAAAUGUGUUAUUAGGGAAGAACAUAUGUGUACGUAACUGUGCACAGCUUGACGGUACUUAAUCAGAAAGCCACGGCUAACUACGUG